UUUUAGCCCUGAUCGCAGCGGUAUCCUUUUAUUGCCGUCUUUAGGCAAUGAAAGAUAUAGCUAAGAGCGGGAGUGGCU
This 78-nucleotide small RNA is filed under the name Flavobacterium gillisiae. Its description in RNAcentral is "Flavo-1 RNA". It matches the Rfam family "Flavo-1 RNA". The record is from RNAcentral. Lineage: Bacteria; Pseudomonadati; Bacteroidota; Flavobacteriia; Flavobacteriales; Flavobacteriaceae.